This 590-nucleotide small RNA is filed under the name Pongo abelii (Sumatran orangutan). Its description in RNAcentral is "processed transcript". Lineage: Eukaryota; Metazoa; Chordata; Mammalia; Primates; Hominidae. The record is from RNAcentral.
GGGUCUCUGGGUCCUUUUCCGGUGUCCUUAAGGUUCUUGGACUCUGCAUGGUUCCCUUUAGCCUGUCUUCGGGCCUGCCACAAUUAAAUGACCGCAAGAAAGAAGUCUAUGCUAAGCCCCAUAAUGAACGUUUCAAGCAAGAAGGAUGAGAAUUUUAGAUCUGGAGGUGUCCUCGGGACAGGAUCUUGUCAAGACCUGAUGGGGAAGUUCUAGAGUGCUGCCAGGUUGCCAGAUUUCUAAGAAGGGGUUUGAAGAGGAGAAAAGGAUUUUUGCAUGUUUAGAAAUCAAGGUUCAGGAGAAUCUUGACAGUGAACGUGUCUCAUUACAUUGAAUAACAGCUACAGGAUGUUCAAGAGCUGUUCCGGCUUUUCUGGAUUCUGUGCUUCACCAAUAGAGGAAUCCCAUGGAGCAUUAAUUAGUUCUUGCAAUUCCAGAACCAUGACUGAUGGGUUGGUGACAUUCAGGGAUGUGGCCAUCGACUUCUCUCAGGAGGAGUGGGAAUGCCUGGACCCUGCUCAGAGGGACUUGUACGUGGAUGUAAUGUUGGAGAACUAUAGUAACUUGGUGUCACUGGUCUCACUGUGUCACCC